CUGGUCCUACGGGACGCAGCAGUGAGGAAUAUUGGUCAAUGGGCGGGAGCCUGAACCAGCCAAGUCGCGUGAGGGAAGACGGUCCUAUGGAUUGUAAACCUCUUUAGGCGGGGAGCAAUGCCGGGCACGCGUGCCCGGAGGAAGAGUACCCGCAGAAUAAGCAUCGGCUAACUCCGUGCCAGCAGCCGCGGUAAUACGGAGGAUGCGAGCGUUAUCCGGAUUUAUUGGGUUUAAAGGGUGCGUAGGCGGAUUUUUAAGUCAGCGGUAAAAUUUCCG
RNAcentral lists this ribosomal RNA (276 nucleotides) under uncultured bacterium. RNAcentral describes it as "partial 16S ribosomal RNA". It matches the Rfam family "Bacterial small subunit ribosomal RNA", at positions 333 to 605 of the family's 1533-position model. The record is from RNAcentral.